Molecule: ribosomal RNA, 346 nt
Filed under: uncultured bacterium
Lineage: Bacteria
Description: bacterial SSU rRNA
Rfam family: Bacterial small subunit ribosomal RNA
Source: RNAcentral
AGGGUUUGAUUAUGGCUCAGGAUGAACGCUGGCGGCGUGCCUAACACAUGCAAGUCGAGCGAAGCGCCUGCUUUUGAUUCUUUCGGGAUGAAGAAGCUUGCGACUGAGCGGCGGACGGGUGAGUAACACGUAGGCAACCUGCCUCACACAGGGGGAUAACAGUUAGAAAUGACUGCUAAUACCGCAUAAGCGCACAGGGCUGCAUGGCCCGGUGUGAAAAGCUCCGGCGGUGUGAGAUGGACCUGCGUCUGAUUAGCCAGUUGGCGGGGUAACGGCCCACCAAAGCGACGAUCAGUAGCCGGCCUGAGAGGGUGGACGGCCACAUUGGGACUGAGACACGGCCCAG